UUUUGCCGCACAGCGCCCUGCAUGUCUCCCUCCACCAUGAAUGGAGUUGAAGUUCUCUAAACUCUCAUAAAACAGCGUCUCAGUCAUCAGGCAGUGAAUUCAGAACCAGUUCAUGUAGGAACUUUAUGUGAGGAGCUUUUAGAGGGGGACGUCUGGUUCCCAUCACCACCACUGUGAACAGCUUCCCUUUAACACACUCCAAACAGCACUUCGUGGGCUCUCAGGCUAAACCACAAACACUAAAGUGUUUUUUUUGUCUAAUUUAACUUCUGAGACAAAUACAAGCAAUGCAGACAUCUGGCCCUGUAGAGUCCGCUGUGCUCCAGCAGGGGGCGCUCACCGACACAGCUGCUCCUCCACAAAGCAUUCACGACAGGAAACGACCAGCGCACGCUGCUGUGUCUAAAGAAGCAGUAGAACAUACAAACGAGUGUGGAGGAUAACAUCACGCCUGUGACUUGGUCAAGCUGAGGCAGAGAACAGCAGCAAGUGCCCUGCGGUGUAUCGUGUCUGUCCGCGCCCGUCUGGACGGGGAGCCGAGCGGCGGCUGAAAUCCCCCAGCGGCUGCAGGCUGCCACACACGCUCUCCUGCGCUCCACACACACUCCGCACACACGCAGAUCCACACAGACAGGAGUCUCAGCAUAUGGCUGCGCCAGGACUCUGCUGAAGCUCUGACACGGGGAAAAACAUGGACAAACGGAGGAGAAGGGACAGUCCACCCAAAAAUGAGCUCCAUGCUCACUGCUCCCACACACACACGCGUGAUGGCUGCUGUUUGAGUGUGUGUUAGGGUUCUCACUGUCACUUAAAUUAGCACACAAGUAAUGGGACUGCUUAGUAGGAUAAACACACAAUGACACAGUAACGUACGUGAGCUGGACUCUGAACUAAUCACACUGUUACGUACAUUUACAGUCACUGUAGUCUGUACAGAAGCUUUUCCUACAGACAAAAUCAACACAUGACAACAAGUGUUCAGAUUACCGGCUGCCAGCAGGGUCAUUUGCAGGCUAAUCACAUUUGGCCAGAACUCUUUUAUUAGUGCGCUAGAGUCGCUUUGAAGGCCGUUAGCUGAUAAUUGCUGUGGGCCUAGUAAUCGUACUAUGGGCCGCUGAAGUUUAGUAGCGCUGUCUUUUUCAGCGUCUACUUUGAUGGUAGGUGAGUUGUUUUGCUACAGCGACACACAAUUGCGACCGACUUGGAAUUGAAAGUGAUUUGCUCCGCCCACACUGGCCUUUUUUUCCACACCUCCUCUGUACAUAUUCUCUGAAAAGCUACAUUUUCAUUGGCUCAUUUAAGUUUAAGGUUCUGUAGAACAUACACAUCAAUUUCAUACUAGACCCUGAGUCAUUUAUACUCAUAAUUUAUACUAAUAUACUAGAAUAAUUCAUACUGGAUACUGAAUAAUUAAUUAUAGACACUGAGUGAUUCGUACUAGACAAUGAAUAAUUAAUUGUAUACAAUGAAUAAUUCAUACCAGAUGCUGAAUAAUCCAUACGACAUACUGAAUAAUUCAUACUAGAUGCGGAAUAAUUAAUUGUAUACAAUGAAUAAUUCGUAGUAGAUACUGAAUCAUUCGUAGUAGAUAAUGAAUAAUUCAUACGAGACACUGAAUAAUUGUAUACAAUGAAUAAUUCAUACCAGAUGCUGAAUAAUUCAUAUGAGACACUGAAUAAUUAAUUUUAUACAAUGAAUAAUUAAUACUAGAUACUGAAUUAUUUGUACUAGAUACUGAAUAAGUCAUACAAGACACGAAAUAAUUCAUAUUAGAUACUUCAAAGCAGAUGCUGAAUAGGUCUUAAGAUUAGUAACUGAAGUAUUUGCCUGGGAUUUGAAACGACUUUACGGUGUUUAAUAACAAUAAUAAUAGUUGUGGUCUCAAGGUCUUAAUUUCUUAGUUGACGAUUUUUAAUCUGGUUUAAGUUUAAUCAAGUAAUCGUGACAGCCCUGGUAUGACUGAGUGAGUGAGCG
Molecule: long non-coding RNA, 1974 nt
Organism: Pygocentrus nattereri (red-bellied piranha)
Lineage: Eukaryota; Metazoa; Chordata; Actinopteri; Characiformes; Serrasalmidae
Source: Ensembl